GGAUAAAAAGUAGCCUAUGUUUCUCUCCAAGUCUUUUAAUAUACCCGUGCAAGAAAUCGUGUUGAUCCGUUGCGACGUUAUUGAAGAACAAAACAAUAUACCAACAAACAGACACACUUUCGUAUUUAUAAUGUGCGAAUUGAUAGUGA
This is a long non-coding RNA of Maniola jurtina (meadow brown), 149 nucleotides long. RefSeq lists it as uncharacterized. The transcript has 3 exons. The record is from RefSeq and is a predicted model, not a curated record. NCBI's taxonomy places the organism in Eukaryota, Metazoa, Arthropoda, Insecta, Lepidoptera, Nymphalidae.